RNAcentral lists this long non-coding RNA (3061 nucleotides) under Solanum lycopersicum (tomato). RNAcentral's name for it is "long non-coding RNA (SLYC_LNC000274)". The record is from RNAcentral. Lineage: Eukaryota; Viridiplantae; Streptophyta; Magnoliopsida; Solanales; Solanaceae.
UCUCAAAACAAACCGCCGCCCCUCCCUGCUAUUCCUUCUCCCGACGCCUCUUUCUUUUCUAGCGAGACUCACCACCACGUGCUGGUGGCAGCCAACUCUCUCUCCCUCUCACCUUCCUCUUCCCUCCUCUCGUCUGUCUUUCCUUUCGUAUUCUCCUUUUCCUUUCCUCUUCGCUUGCAGGGACAGCAUCAGGCGCAGCAACAGCCACCAGCCACCAGCCACCAGCAGUUUCGCCUAGGACUGCCAGGAAGCAGCGACCAGCAAUAGUGCCUUUCCAGCGCCGCCUCGACUCCUCUUCUCCGCCUCUCGUUCUUCUUGCUCUUUUCCUUCUUUUCCCUUUCUUUUUUUUGCAAGACCAACAAAAGCCAGGGACAACGUCGGACAGUAACGACUUCAGGGAGCUCCUCAAACUGCAAGACCCUGUCACAGUUGCUGCUCAGAUCAGAAAAUGGGAAGCAACCCAAAGAUAAGGCGGAUAUCCAAGGUUCGCCCUAGGUACGAUUUUAUUUAUCCGAAAUUCAAUUUCCCAUGAAUGUGAUUGCUUGUUUUUGAAAUACCGUGAUAAAAUUUAUAGUUGUGCUUUUACUGGUUUUACAUAAAAUAUUACUUUUAUCUAAUAUUGCUAUGGUAUUUGUAUUCGGCACUUUUUAGUCACUCUUCUUGCUGACUUAGUGAAACAAUAGCAUUCAUGAUCUUUCUUUUUAAUCUUUCACAUGUAAAGUUUUGUUAAAUAGUUGGUGUAUUUUGUUUAUCGUAUUAUUUCAAAUAGAGAAUUUUGUAUGUCUACGUUUGCUGAUUUUGAACCUCUAUAAUCUUAAAAAUCUAAAGUUUGAGGGUAUUGCAUUAUGUCUCUCAUCGAUAUGUUUCCCUUGUAUAAUUUGGAAAAAGUAUUUAUUAUGCUUAAUUGGGGGAUCUAUUUUUAUAUAUCUCAAAGCCAAUUUAAAUAUGUGAAUUAAGUUUGGUACUCCCUUAUUCAUGAUAACUUGUUAUGGUUACUUCGAAUAGAAUAUAUUUGACUAAAUUAGUAGGAAAUUCCCAUGAUAUUUUGAUCAUAGAUAUUUGUUCAUAUUUGCCUUUCUUAUUUAAUCAUAUAUGUUUUUGUUUGAUUAUGUCAAUUUACCAUUUUAAAUUAUGGUCUUUACUUGUGAUAUAUUAUGCUACUAUAGUUACUAAUUUCCUUUUACUUUAUUUUAACUAAUUUUCUGAUGUCUUUUACAUUUUUGGUAAAAAUAAUAAUAAUAACAUCUUUUGACUCUCUUGAAUUAAGAAUAAUAUUAAUUGACCUCCUUUUCCUUUAUUGUUUGUGUAGAUUCAUUUAUGGUAUUAUUAGGUAAAUGUUUGACAACUUUAAAUUAUUUCCUUAUAAAAUUUAGUUGCUCAUAUGUUUGGUAAAAUAAUAAUAAUAAUUCAAAAUUUGAUUUUACCUCUUCUUUAUUAAUAAUAAUAAUAAUAAUAAUAUUCCUCCCUAUUCGUAAAUUAUUUUCUAACUUGUUUUUAUAUGGUAAAAUAAUUUAAAAAUAAAUUUUAUUUGGCCCUUCCUUAUUCAAGGAAUAUAUUACUCUUCCUUAUUUAUUUUUAUUUGGUUAUAUUUUGUAGCAUAAUAACAAUUUCAUAUUAUUUUGGAUAUUCAUUAUUUAAGGGAAAAUAUUAUUGUUUUUCCUAACUUUUAUUCUUACUAGUUUAUUUUUGGUAAUGAAUUUUUAUAAAACUUUCUGAUCUUUAGCUCUUCUUUAUUUAAGGAAAAAAUCUAUUACUCUCUCUUAAUUUAUUCGUACUUGCGUAUAUUUGGUAAAAAUAAUUUAAUUUUUUUUCGGAUUUUGGAUCUACUUUAAAAAACUGAAAAAUGGUAAUAUAAUUGAUUCCUUGAUAUAUUUAUUUUCAUUAUUUGGUACCACCUCUUCUACUAUAUAAGAUAGCCCCUUUGUAUUCUUUAAACAGACACUCUCAAAUCUUGAGAAGAACUCACAUUCUCCAAACUCACAAUAAUGCAUUCACUCGCUCUUAACAUAAGAGUUCUCACUCUCUUACUAGUCAUAUUAUUUCUACUCUUAAACAAAAUAAGAUCCCGGUAACUUUCAAGUGUUCUCUUGGCCCUUGCUUUUGUUCGAGUAAAAGUUGAAUUAACUUGUUCUCGUUGCUACCAUUUUUCUGCUUAAUCGGUUAGUAUUCUUUAUUAGCAUUUUACUAUUGGUCAGCCUGCUAUGAUUAUUUAUUAAUUUUGUUUUGUAUUUAUUAUUAUUGUUGUGUGUUGGGAAUAAAAGGAAACACUCCUUAUCUUUUCCCCCAUGUGUGGUGAUAUGUCUACACCUAUGUUUUAUCCUUUUUAUUUCUUAUGUGUUGUUAUUUAUAUAUGUAUAUAUGAGAUUAAUUUGUUACAAUAAAAAUUUUACAUUACAAUCAUUCUUCCAUUGUAUACGUGUUACCUUGCUUAUUCUAGCAGGUUUUGGACUUAAAGUUCAAGAUGAUGAAGAGUGACCUGAAGAAAUUUCGAACAAAGCUUUGUUUAUUAUGUUUUGUAUUUUUUCAUCUGUUAUUUUAUUUACAGUAUAUUUGUAUAACACUAAAGAAAUUCAUAUAUGAUGAAAUUUGAGGGAUCGCCUAGGAAGGGGAAAUUAUGUGUUUAUCUUCUUUUUUAUUACAUACUUGUUUGGGUCAGUCAAUUGCCACUUCCUGGCAUUGUUGAGUUCCAAGUUGGGGUCCUCCUUCAGGGCCCCUUAUGAGUCAUGUGUGCAUUGGUACCCGAACAUUUAUAACCAAAACAUGAUCGUAUACAAGUUUAGGACUUAUCACAUGAGUUUCGUCAAAAAAGAACACGUAAAACUCAACGAGACAUACAUAGACACACAAGGUCGUCUUAAGGCAAGCCUUUCAAACAUCAUGGACGAUGUUAUACUUUUGACCUCAAAAAUUCACGAAACAUGAAACACUUACUAUAUACAAUAUAAUAACUCAUUUAAGAACUUUAUUAUAUCAUGAAUCACACGUAAAUAGAUAAAACCAUAUUUGUGGUACAUAGGUCACUUAGUCGUCAAACAUCUUUGUCGUCCUUUGACGUUUGACU